This 24-nucleotide transfer RNA is filed under the name Sebastes vulpes. RNAcentral describes it as "partial tRNA-Thr". Lineage: Eukaryota; Metazoa; Chordata; Actinopteri; Perciformes; Sebastidae. RNAcentral also lists the same sequence under 2 other names. The record is from RNAcentral.
GGAGGUUAAAAUCCUCCCUACUGC